GACGAACGCUGGCGGCGUGCUUAACACAUGCAAGUCGAACGGAAAGGCCCUGCUUUUGUGGGGUGCUCGAGUGGCGAACGGGUGAGUAACACGUGAGUAACCUGCCCUUGACUUUGGGAUAACUUCAGGAAACUGGGGCUAAUACCGGAUAGGAGCUCCUGCUGCAUGGUGGGGGUUGGAAAGUUUCGGCGGUUGGGGAUGGUCUCGCGGCUUAUCAGCUUGUUGGUGAGGUAGUGGCUUACCAAGGCUUUGACGGGUAGCCGGCCUGAGAGGGUGACCGGCCACAUUGGGACUGCGGUACGGACCAGAAUGCUACGGGAGGCAGCAGUGGGGAAUAUUGCACAAUGGGGGGAAGCGUGAUGUAGAAACGCCGCGUGCGGGAUGACGGCCUUCGGGUUGUAAACCGCUUUCGACUGUGACGAAGCGUGAGUGACGGUAAUGGGUAAAGAAGCACCGGCUAACUACGUG
RNAcentral lists this ribosomal RNA (468 nucleotides) under uncultured bacterium. RNAcentral describes it as "partial 16S ribosomal RNA". It matches the Rfam family "Bacterial small subunit ribosomal RNA", at positions 28 to 507 of the family's 1533-position model. The record is from RNAcentral.